CCAAGAUUGAAAGCUGGCGCCUUCGGCGUCCGCAUUGUAAUCUCAAGAAGUGUUUUCCGCUUCGGACCAUGCCUAAGUCCCUUGGAAAAGGGCAUCAUAGAGGGUGAUAAUCCCGUACAUGGCAUGGAGCGCCCGAAGCUUUGUGAUACGCUUUCUAAGAGUCGAGUUGUUUGGGAAUGCAGCUCAAAAUGGGUGGUAAAUGCCAUCUAAGGCUAAAUAUUGGGGAGAGACCGAUAGCGAACAAGUACAGUGAUGGAAAGAUGAAAAGAACUUUGAAAAGAGAGUUAAACAGUACGUGAAAUUGCCAAAAGGGAAGGGUAGGAGGUCAGAGAUGCGUCGCAGGAUUCAGCCUUGCUUUUGCUUGGUGUUUUUCCUGCGUUGCAGGCCAACGUCGGUUUUGGGCACUGGAGAAGGGUAGGAGGAACGUGGCACCUCUCGGGGUGUGUUAUAGCCUCCUACUGGAUACAGCGACCGAGACCGAGGAACGCAGCGUACUCGUAAGAGCGGGCCUUUUGGCACCUUUACGCUUAGGGCGUUGGCAUAAUGGCCCUCUACCACCCGUCUU
RNAcentral lists this ribosomal RNA (565 nucleotides) under uncultured Pseudozyma. RNAcentral describes it as "eukaryotic LSU rRNA". It matches the Rfam family "Eukaryotic large subunit ribosomal RNA", at positions 109 to 655 of the family's 3401-position model. The record is from RNAcentral. Lineage: Eukaryota; Fungi; Basidiomycota; Ustilaginomycetes; Ustilaginales; Ustilaginaceae.